UCGUGUCUUAUCACAGAAGUUUCUAUAAAUUAUCAACGGAGUCUUCAAAUAACAAAACCCAAUAAAGGGGUAGACAUUAUACGUAAAUAGAAAAACAAGAACUGCUGGAUAUAGUGAAAAACUCCCGUGAGGAACACAGGCAGUGAGCUGUGGGCGAGUAGCCAGCUGUGAAGUGAGAGGCCGUGGGUUCUCUUGUGUGAUAUAUAUAAUCAAU
Molecule: long non-coding RNA, 214 nt
Organism: Manduca sexta (tobacco hornworm)
Lineage: Eukaryota; Metazoa; Arthropoda; Insecta; Lepidoptera; Sphingidae
Exons: 2
Source: RefSeq, a predicted model, not a curated record